Molecule: non-coding RNA, 30 nt
Filed under: Callithrix jacchus (white-tufted-ear marmoset)
Lineage: Eukaryota; Metazoa; Chordata; Mammalia; Primates; Cebidae
Also listed under: 1 other name
Source: RNAcentral
CUCAGAUGUGAUUUUAGCCAGGGCUUGGUU